Molecule: long non-coding RNA, 894 nt
Organism: Galeopterus variegatus (Sunda flying lemur)
Lineage: Eukaryota; Metazoa; Chordata; Mammalia; Dermoptera; Cynocephalidae
Exons: 3
Source: RefSeq, a predicted model, not a curated record
UGUUUGCGGUCGCGUUUUUCUGGGGUGUCCCACCGCGAUCUCGGGGACCAACCCCUUGAGCUCCUGAUCCCAAGCAGGAAUGCCAGGUGCUUAGAGGAGGAUCUAGAAAGGCCGGGCUUCAGACGUUCCAACCGGACGGAGGUGGGUCUUGGGGAAACGUCCCAAGUCCCACCUGAAAACCUUCGUCUGGGACUGCAGUUGGCCUCCAGGCACACAUUCUAGCUCAGAAGAAACAGAUCGCAAAAAUCCGGAGGAGGCGACGGCACCCAAGCAUCAGCGUUUCGCCUCCGGACCCCAGCGGAAUCUGCGGGACGUUGGGACAGGAACGAAGUCCAAGACUCUGCAGAGACUCGUCCGACCCAGGAGCAGACAGCACUGGCCUAGACACUAGCAGGUAGACAAGGUGGAGGAGAGAGAAUUCCCAGACAACAGAGUUAUGAACAAAUGCAGGACUGAGAAAUAGCCUGGUGGCCUUGUCUUAAGUGUAUACCAAUAGCAGACAGAAUUUCUGAAGGAACAGCAGCUAUUAUGUGUCCCUGAUGAUGGAAGUCAUGGAACAAAGAUUGAGCAGGAAGACAGAAGGAGGCUGGGAACCUGAUGAUGUUCUUGAAUAGUGGUGUUGGCCCUGGAUGACUUACCUGGGACCUCUUCUUAAAUGAGAAUAUUAACUCCUUUCUACUUAAUCCACUGGAGUAGAAUUUUCUGUUACAGUGAAUCUAAUCCUAAUUAAUGAUACUGGCCAAUACAUAUUAGCACCUUUUGUGCCAGUGCGGUUCUAAGCACUUUAUGUACUAACUUUUUUAAUCCUCACAAUGACCUUAUGAGAUAGAUCAGAGGGUCUCAAAGUAUGGUCUCUGGACCAGCAGCAUUAGCAUCACCUGGAAACUUGUUAGA